RNAcentral lists this long non-coding RNA (3915 nucleotides) under Sus scrofa (pig). Its description in RNAcentral is "lncRNA (ENSSSCG00025009751.1)". Lineage: Eukaryota; Metazoa; Chordata; Mammalia; Artiodactyla; Suidae. The record is from RNAcentral.
AUCUCUGCUUAUUUUUGAAUUUUAAAUGGGUAAGGAAAAUUGCGGUAAAUUUUUUAAAAACAGUCUUGCGCAUGUCUAUUCAUAUGGAAUUGCCUAAAUAAUAUGUUGCUAUGACACAUAAACUGUUUUCACUUAAAUGACAAGCACUGCUCAAUUCCUUUCCUUUAGGGGUAUACUCCUCCUGUGUAAGUCAUUUGUUUAGUAGCAAAUGAAUACAUAACACUAAGUUCUGUCAUCUUAUAGAUGUUUUUAUAGCUCAUUGCAAGUUUUGUGUUUUUCUUGUUUGCCUUGUGAACAGUUUUUAGAUAGUGUUAUUCAUUUUGAAAGAAAAACAUUCUUAUUUUUAAAAUUUUUUCUGUACAUAUGAACUUCCAUAUGCCACAGGUGUGGCCCUAAAAAGAUAAAAUAAAUAAAUGAAGAAAGGCAGGAAUGGGUGGCUGGGAGUUCCUGCUGUGGUGCAGUGGGAUCAGCAGUUCUCUGAAGCACUGGGACACAGGUUUGGUCCCUGGCCCCACCAGUGGGUAAAGGAUCUGACAUUGCCGCAGCUGCAGCUUGGAUCUGAUCCCUGGCCUGGGAGCUCCAUAUGUUGCAGGGUUGGGGGAAGGAAUGGGUGGCCAGUGUAAAACAACCGUACUUUAAUUUUUAGAAAAGGUGAUAAAUAAAACCCAUACAUAGUCAAAUCAGAGGGAAAAAAAGAAUAGGUGGCUCAUAAUAUCUUGUCAUUGUGUAAUACUUAAAAUGUAAGUUCCCUGGUGAAUAAUGGUGAAAUCUGGAGAAGGUUAAAAUUGUAAACAUAAUAAAUAGGCCCAAAUAUUGUAGACUUGCAAUAAUAAAUAAAAUUUUAUAGUUGUACUGUAAAACUGAUUGCUUUUUUGGAAAUGACUUUUAUAAUAAUCUUACCAAGUUUGAUAUGUGAAGAAAAGUGUUAGCUAUGUCAGUACAGUAAAAUAACUAACAGUGUGACUUAAGAAUACAAUAUAUUCUUUAUGUAUCCCAGAGGUACAUGCUUCUAUACAUGGUUCCAAGCAUGUUUUAUUUUCCCAGAUUUUUUCCUAAUCAAAUUCUCAAUCAUUCUUUGAGACCUAGUUCCAUUGCCAUGCACUUCUGUAAAGCUAUUUGAUACCAAGUAGAAUUCAUUGCUUUCUUCUUCAUUCCUCUAGACCUUCCUUUAUUUGCCCUGUGUUGUAGAUAGUUGUAUACUGUUUUAAAUCCCUGAGUUCUGGAGUAUUGAUUCUAGUUUAUUCAUCUGAAGUGCCUCUCAGUCCCUUAAAUACAGUAGAAAUGAAGUAAAAAAAAGGUUUUAAUGAAAGCCAUUGUUUGAAGAAUUCUUUAUAGUUGGUCUUACAUCUGAAAGGACCCACCAAAAUCUAAUAAUGUUUAUUGUGUUUAUAAAGAAUAAGUCCUUCUUGGCUUAUUUGGUAACAAAUGACUUGAGAGACUUGUGAAGAGAAUCAGUGAUCCCCAUUAUCUGUGAAUAGUGUGCUUUAUAAAUGUUGGUAGUGGCUCAAAAACCUUUUUGUUUACUCUUAAGUUUUUAAAAAAAUACAUAUUUUUAAAAGGAGGAGUAAUGAAUAUAGUGCAUUAUGUCUGAAAAAACCUUCAUUUUACUGCUUAGUGAUACAGAGAUUCCAAAGUUUGGAUCUUAAGUCUGUUUAGUUUGGUACUUGGUUUUAAUGCUUGUCUUAGCUAGAAGGCAGCUCAUGUGGGAACAUAUACCCAAAAAGAAUAAGUACCUCUUUGGCUGUACUUUCUAAAUGGAGAUGCUCACUGUUUAAUUUCUGUCCAUCAAUUAUGCAUAUUUGGCUUGUAAAGUUUUCCCUUACUGUGCAAACCAAUGUGAGGACUUGCAUUUAUGUUUUUAAUAAAUGCAUUCAAAAUCCACAGAAACUCUAUAUGUAUGGAAGACGUUUUAAAGAGUUAGAAAAUGGUUUCUCUGUUUUUAGAGUGUGCAGGUAUGAGUAUUUCAAGAUGAUACACAUUUCUUUUGGAAUGUAGUUAUUUUCUUACUAAAUUUUGAAAUUUGUCAUUUACUUUUAAGGUACACAUAGGUUAAUCAUGUUUUUUUGUUUUUUUUUUUUUCUUUUUAAGGCCACACUCACAGCAUAUGAAAGUUCCCAGGCUAGGAGUUGAAUCGGAGCUACAGCUGCCAGCCUACACCACAGCCACAGCAACGCUGGAUCCUUAACCCACUGAGCGAGGCCAGGGAUUGAACUCGAGUCCUCAGGGAUACUAGUUGGAUUCGUUUCCACUGCACCACAACAGGAAUUGCAAUCAUGAUUUCUAAAAAAACAAUGGCUAGGUAGUGUGCUGCUAACAGUCACUUAUCACAGAAAAUGAGCAAAUUUAGACCUUCUUUUUUUUUUGGUAGAAGAUAAAUGCUUUACUCAUCUUUAAAAUUAACACCUUUUAAAAAUACGUUUGCAUGAGGUAACCAGUAAACCUGUUUGGUAUAAAAUACUAUGGUCACUCCUCAACCACAUCAAUAACAUCCUAUAACACUUGGUGCUCUUUCUGCUUCAACUUCUCUUUUGCUGCAGUAAUUGCUUUUGAGUUAAACCUUACUUCCUCUGUCCCAGCUUUCUUUUGUUGAGGUCAAAGCAGCUGCUUUAUGAAGGAACAUAUAAUACAGUUUUUCCAUAGAAUAUUGUUUUUAUUAAAGAAAUCAUCUAUUGUAAGAGUGUAUCUUCUCUGGAACAGCAGUCUCUUGUAAUAGUUUACAAAAGGUGCAUUAUUUAAUGUUUGAAAAAGAAUCUAGCAAAUACUAUCACUUUUCACUCAGAGUAUUUAGAAUCAGUGCCAGAAUACUUAGAUUACUUUACAUAUAUGAUGUGUGACUGUCUGACAGGUGGCCAUAAUGAAGAAGCCAGUGUCAUUUUAUAUGUUAAAAUGUAUAGUAAGAUAUAUUGUAUUACAUCAUAUUACAUAUAUUGUAUCACAGCUAUGUAUUAUAUCAUAUCAUAUUACAUCAUACUUAAAAUAUGUAUAUCUAUUAAGAUAAAGAUUAAAUAUAAGUAGAGCUCCUAAUAUGUUGUUCUUUUACCCUAAUAGAUCAUCACUCAUACUUCCUGGGUUAUAAUCACCUCCAUUUUGGAAAUCACUGUACAAUCUCCUUGAAUUAGUGUUGUUAAUAAUGAGCAUUUUGUAAUAAGUUCCAUUUCAUAGUGUGGCUUUCAUCUUAUAUGAAGCCAUCUUGAAAGCACUUGGGACAAGACAUUCUGAUUUUCUUACUAAUUGGAAAGAAAUAUUUGUAGAAGAAAAAUAGAUAAAUUUCAAAAAAUGAGAUCUUAAUACAAUGUAUUCUUAAAAGACCCAGAAUUGCCAAAGCAAUCUUGAUGGAUAUAAAGCAAGAGGCAUAACUCUCCCAGACUUCAGACAAUAUUACAAAGCUACAGUAAUCAAGACAGUGUGGUACUAGUCCAAAACCAGACGUAUGGGUCAAUGGAACAGAAUGGAGAGCCCAGAAAUAAACCUAGACACCUGCAGUCAAUUAAUCUUUGACAAAGAAGGCAAGAGUAUAAAAUGGGGAAAAGGCAGUCUCUUUGGCAACUGGUGCAGGGAAAAUUGGACAGCUGCAUGUAAAUCAGGGAAACUGGAACACACCCUCAUACCAUGUACCAAAAAAUAAACUCAAAAUGUCUCAAAAGACUUAAACAUAAGACAUGACAUCAUAAAACUCCUAGAAGAGAACAAAGGCAAAACAUUCUCUGACAUAAACCAUACAAAUGUUUUCUUAGGCGAGUCUCCCAAGGCAAUAGAAAUAAAAACAAAAAUAAGCAAAUGGGACCUAAUCAAAUAUAAAAGCUUUUGCACAGCAAAGGAAACCAUUAAAAACAGUGAAAAAACCUAAAGAAUGGGAGAAAAUAGUUGCAGUGAUGCAACUGACAAGGGCUUAAGCUCCAAAAUGAACAAACAACU